GGUAGUCCAUGCCGUAAACGUUGGGCGCUAGGUGUGAGGGACAUUCCACGUCCUUUGUGCCGCAGCUAACGCAUUAAGCGCCCCGCCUGGGGAGUACGGCCGCAAGGCUAAAACUCAAAGGAAUUGACGGGGGGCCCGCACAAGCGGCGGAGCAUGCGGAUUAAUUCGAUGCAACGCGAAGAACCUUACCUGGAUUUGACAUAUAGGGAAAUCUCCUGGAGACAGGAGGUCCGCAAGGGCUCUAUACAGGUGGUGCAUGGCUGUCGUCAGCUCGUGUCGUGAGAUGUUGGGUUAAG
Molecule: ribosomal RNA, 296 nt
Filed under: uncultured bacterium
Lineage: Bacteria
Description: partial 16S ribosomal RNA
Rfam family: Bacterial small subunit ribosomal RNA
Source: RNAcentral